RNAcentral lists this ribosomal RNA (253 nucleotides) under uncultured bacterium. RNAcentral describes it as "partial 16S ribosomal RNA". It matches the Rfam family "Bacterial small subunit ribosomal RNA", at positions 524 to 776 of the family's 1533-position model. The record is from RNAcentral.
UACGGGGGUGGCAAGCGUUGUUCGGAAUUACUGGGCGUAAAGGGCUCGUAGGUGGCCAACUAAGUCAGACGUGAAAUCCCUCGGCUUAACCGGGGAACUGCGUCUGAUACUGGAUGGCUUGAGUUUGGGAGAGGGACGCGGAAUUCCAGGUGUAGCGGUGAAAUGCGUAGAUAUCUGGAGGAACACCGGUGGCGAAGGCGGCGUCCUGGACCAACACUGACACUGAUGAGCGAAAGCCAGGGGAGCAAACGGG